UCUUUCCAGCUGCCCUGUGGGGAAGGUGUCUUGCUUCCCCUUCGCCUUCCACCAUGAAUGUAAGUUUCCUGAGGAUUCCCCAGCCGUGCUGAACUAGAUGGGUUCUCACUGUGUUGCCUAGGCUAGUCUCAAACUCUUGGCCUCAAACUAUCAUCCCAUCUUAGCCUCCCAAAGUGCCGGGAUCACAGAUUUGUCCCAUAGCAUAAGAUUCACACCCAAUACUAUCAUCCUUUGGGUCUCUAAGACACCAACUUAAAAGCAGAAGAAGGCUUCAAAGGUGGCAGAAGAUGUGAGCCUGGGUGAUUGAAAAAUAGAUGUGCCAUUACCCAGAAAUAGGACUUCUUCAAGGCAAAGGCUGAUAUAGUGGUGGCUACAGUCUAUGUUGUGAUUUGAUGGAACUUUUCACUUUUCACCAUUCAAACCAGUAUCCAGAGGUACAGUUGCUGCAUAACUUCCUCAUUAUCCAUAGGACCAAACUAAAUGUCUCUGGUUUGAAAUUUUGACUAGAAAUUAUAUACAUCUGCCAGCGAUUAUUGUGGGUGUAACUGAAGUGCACACUGCUCACUGCCCCUCAAUAACAUCAUUUUCAAAUAAUAACAUUGGAAAGAGGUACUUUUCUAAAACUUUCAAGUGAUCUACAAUCUCCCAGACUACUUUUACAAUGGAUUUUUUUUUUUUUACUAGAUAUGUUAUUUCAAUUUUGGCCACUAACCAAAAGGCAGGACAUUGCUGGUGAAUUUAAGCUGUUCAAUUAUACCCAAAAAAGAAUCUGAGC
RNAcentral lists this long non-coding RNA (775 nucleotides) under Pongo abelii (Sumatran orangutan). Its description in RNAcentral is "lincRNA". Lineage: Eukaryota; Metazoa; Chordata; Mammalia; Primates; Hominidae. The record is from RNAcentral.